GUGAAUCAUCGAAUCUUUGAACGCAAAUUGCACUCUCUUCGGAGAGUAUGCCUGUUUGAGGGUCAGCCUAAAAAGAAUCGACAUAGUCGCUGUUUCGCGGUGUCCUUCGUCGGAAAGUGUGUCAUCUUAAACCUUUUCGUUUUAAGCGACUUAAAAUUUCCUUUACGAUUCCACGAACGUUUCUAAGAUUUACUUACCCGUAUACUAUAGCUAUCUUUAUUAUCCGG
This 227-nucleotide unclassified non-coding RNA is filed under the name Glomus sp. RNAcentral describes it as "partial contains 5.8S ribosomal RNA and internal transcribed spacer 2". The stretch from base 1 to 65 matches the Rfam family "5.8S ribosomal RNA", at positions 84 to 154 of the family's 154-position model. The record is from RNAcentral. Lineage: Eukaryota; Fungi; Glomeromycota; Glomeromycetes; Glomerales; Glomeraceae.